This 557-nucleotide unclassified non-coding RNA is filed under the name Tenrhynea phylicifolia. RNAcentral's name for it is "partial external transcribed spacer". The stretch from base 506 to 557 matches the Rfam family "Eukaryotic small subunit ribosomal RNA", at positions 1 to 52 of the family's 1831-position model. Lineage: Eukaryota; Viridiplantae; Streptophyta; Magnoliopsida; Asterales; Asteraceae. The record is from RNAcentral.
GUGCAUUCUGGGGUCAUUAUGGCUAUUGGUGGCUUGCCUGGCAAUUGAGCUAGGUGGGUGGCUGUUAGUUAUGUGGUUUCGGGGAUGUCUACCGUAAAGGUGCAUGAGUGGUAUUUGGUUUGUUACGGGUGGUUGGCUCUUUGCUUGCGCAACAACUUCCACCUGGCAUACCUCUUCAGUCUUGCGUCAAUGCUAAAUUGCAUUGCAUGCACAUCGGGUUUCUUGUGUUGCAUGCCUAACUGAUGGUAUCAUUUGAUGAAUUGAUGUCCUUUUUCGUCUUGUGUUGCACAUGCGAUGUGAGAUGAACCAUGAAGCAGCCUUUGUGAUCCACUCUUUCGAUGCACCUGCAUCGAUUUGGUGGCCCAUUGAGUGUUGCUUGGUCUCAUGGAUAUGGAACCUAGUGUGGGCAUGGGAUCUUACGAGUUCCUUGUUUGCCCUAGUUUAGCUUUUCUAAUACGAUUGUCUAUCACGUCUUGAUGUGGUAGGCUAUAUCGAUUAUGAAUGCUACCUGGUUGAUCCUGCCAGUAGUCAUAUGCUUGUCUCAAAGAUUAAGCCAU